UUGUGGAGGAGGACGCCGAAGGUGGGGCUAAUGACUGGGGUGAAGUCGUAACAAGGUAACCGUACCGGAAGGUGCGGCUGGAUCACCUCCUAACAGGGAGACAACAAAAUGUUUAAUAUUAUUAUUUUGUCACCUUAGGUCGAUCGGUAUCUCACGUUCUUAAUUUAUUAAGAAUUUCAUUUCCUAAGUUUUUCUAGGUCACACCCAUUUUUUUCCUGGGCCAUUAGCUCAGGUGGUUAGAGCGCACCCCUGAUAAGGGUGAGGUCCCUGGUUCAAGUCCAGGAUGGCCCAUAUCUCUAUGUUGGGGGUAUAGCUCAGUUGGUAGAGCGCCUGCUUUGCAAGCAGGAUGUCAGCGGUUCGAGUCCGCUUACCUCCACUGAUUACCACCUCUUCCAUAUCUAUAGAAAGGAAAUUUUUUGAGUUGUGAUCAAAUUCUGAAAGAAUCUAGCUUCCUAAUUAAAUCAUUAAGAUGCUGGACUCAUUGAAUUAAUUUCAUUGUUUUCAGAGAACCUUGACAACUGCAUAGAUUAUUUUUAAAGACAAUAAGCAUCUUUAAUGAUGCAGAUUUAUUAUUUGUGCGAAUGCAUUAAUAACAAUUCUAUUAAGCUGAUGCUUCAAUUUUGAAGUUAUUGGUCAAGCUACAA
Molecule: unclassified non-coding RNA, 644 nt
Filed under: uncultured Prochlorococcus sp.
Lineage: Bacteria; Bacillati; Cyanobacteriota; Cyanophyceae; Synechococcales; Prochlorococcaceae
Description: partial 16S-23S ribosomal RNA intergenic spacer; may also contain 16S ribosomal RNA and 23S ribosomal RNA
Rfam family: tRNA (bases 304-376)
Source: RNAcentral